UAAUUUUAAACCCCACCAUUUUACUCGCAUCUCUUACUUUUAAUAUUUAACUAGUGUAGUGACCCGCUCGUUACGGCGGAUAAAUACUCUGUUAAAAUGAAAAUUUGUAAAAAAUAAAAUAUCAAUUUAGUACAAACAAUAGUAAAUAUAGUCUACAUUAUAAACAAAUAAUUUUAAAAAAUAAAACUAUAAUGAAAAAAAAUUUAAUCAUUUCAACAAAACUAUUUAACUUUAUUCAAAAGAAGUCGCAUGUCAUGCAAAUAGAUGAUUAAAAUUAUUUCUAUAAGACAAUAAUUAAAUGAGAAAAAAAAGAGUAGUCCCUACUCUUUUCCAAAUUAAGGAGGUGGGUAUAUAUAGGAUUUAGUCAUGAAGAUUAAUGUAUAGGUAUAGAUAUUAUGCGUGUCGUCUGAAGAAGUUAACUACACAAAUUCUCGGAUCUAGUGCUAAUUAAUUUAAAAAUAUUUAUAUCCUAUUUAAAUGAAAUAAAUUUUUUUAAAAAUAUAAUAUAACUGUUUAUUAACUAACAUCUAACUAGUCAUAUAUAAAAGGCAUCAUAAUAAAAAGGCACUUGUCACAUCACCGGUUCCCAUUUGAGACAAAACUAUACUUAAUCCACUUUUCAUUGUUCCUCUUGAGAAUCUAAUUAAGAAAUGCUAAGGUGAUUUGUUGGUAAAUUUAUAUUAUGAAGGUGAAAGCGUACAGGAUUUAUCUGAACUAUGAAUCAUUUUGAGUCGGUUGUCCAAUCUUUUCAAAUUUUGAUUUUUUUAUCCAGCAUUUUCAAUUUGUUUGAUUUGAAUUAGUCAAUGAUAUUUUGAUUUAAAAUUUAGGUUUAUUGAUUACUAUAGUAAAUUUACGGUUGUGAGAAUUGUAUGAAAUGCAUUAACUAAAUCUAUAAAGAUAAAUAAUAAAAAAUUUUAAAGUCAAGAUGUCAUUAAUUAACUGGUUCAAAUCAAAUGACUUGAAAGUUUGGAUAACAAAAUCAAAUUUUUAAA
Molecule: long non-coding RNA, 992 nt
Filed under: Ananas comosus (pineapple)
Lineage: Eukaryota; Viridiplantae; Streptophyta; Magnoliopsida; Poales; Bromeliaceae
Description: long non-coding RNA (ACOM_LNC020720)
Source: RNAcentral